CAGCUCAAAUUUGAAAUCUGGCCUCCUUUGGGGGUCCGAGUUGUAAUUUGCAGAGGGUGCUUUGGCAUUGGCGGCGGUCUAAGUUCCUUGGAACAGGACAUCGCAGAGGGUGAGAAUCCCGUACGUGGGCGCCUGCCUUUGCCGUGUAAAGCCCCUUCGACGAGUCGAGUUGUUUGGGAAUGCAGCUCUAAAUGGGAGGUAAAUUUCUUCUAAAGCUAAAUACCGGCCAGAGACCGAUAGCGCACAAGUAGAGUGAUCGAAAGAUGAAAAGUACUUUGGAAAGAGAGUCAAAUAGCACGUGAAAUUGUUGAAAGGGAAGCGCUUGCAGCCAGACUUGCCCGCAGUUGCUCACCUAGGCUUUUGCCUGGGGCACUCUUCUGCGGGCAGGCCAGCAUCAGUUUGGGCGGUUGGAUAAAGGCCUCUGUCACGUAUCUCCCUUCGGGGUGACCUUAUAGGGGAGGCGCAAUGCAACCAGCCCGGACUGAGGUCCGCGCAUCUGCUAGGAUGCUGGCGUAAUGGCUGUAAGCGGCCCGUCUUGAAACACGGACCAAGGAGUCUAACAUCUAUGCGAGUGUUUGGGUGUCAAGCCCGGGCGCGCAAUGAAAGUGAACGGAGGUGGGAACCGCAAGGUGCACCAUCGACCGAUCCUGAAGUCUUCGGAUGGAUUUGAGUAAGAGCAUAGCUGUUGGGACCCGAAAGAUGGUGAACUAUGCUUGAAUAGGGUGAAGCCAGAGGAAACUCUGGUGGAGGCUCGCAGCGGUUCUGACGUGCAAAUCGAUCGUCAAAUUUGGGCAUA
This 796-nucleotide ribosomal RNA is filed under the name Letendraea cordylinicola. RNAcentral describes it as "eukaryotic LSU rRNA". It matches the Rfam family "Eukaryotic large subunit ribosomal RNA", at positions 104 to 919 of the family's 3401-position model. Lineage: Eukaryota; Fungi; Ascomycota; Dothideomycetes; Pleosporales; Didymosphaeriaceae. The record is from RNAcentral.